This 2850-nucleotide ribosomal RNA is filed under the name Triticum aestivum (bread wheat). RNAcentral's name for it is "partial small subunit ribosomal RNA". Lineage: Eukaryota; Viridiplantae; Streptophyta; Magnoliopsida; Poales; Poaceae. The record is from RNAcentral.
AUGGAGGGCGCGGCGCAGUCCAUUGUGAGCAAUGUUGGGCAGCUGGUGGCCAAAGAGUUCUGGCUGCUCCGCGGCAUCGGCGGGGAGGUCAUUGAGCUGAGGGACGAGCUGGCCACCAUGAACGCCCUCCUCAUGCAGUCUGAAGACGAUGAGCGUGAAGUGGUGGACCACGUCGUCCGGGAGUGGAUGAAGCAGGUGCGGGAGCUCGCAUGUGACGCCGACGACUGCGUCGAUCUCUACAUAUUCCGCAUCAAGCGCCGUCCAAGCGACGGCUUCUUCGUCAAGUCCAGGCGCCUGCUUACGACGCUUUAUCCUCGCCGUCUGCUCGCCGGCGACAUCAGAGCCCUCCGCUCCCGAGCUAUAGCCAUUAGCGAGCGCCAUGCUCGUUACAGCUCUAGCCGCACGGUACAAGACCCCUAUCUUUCUUCACAUGCCCCUGCCCCGGCAGUGACGGGCCAGUCCACACAAAGGCUUCGCCCUGGCCGUGCCGACGCCAAUGACCCUGAUGAGUUCGUGGGCGUCGAAGAGCUCAACACACUGAUCAACAUGGUGGAAGGCGAAAAGGAUGACGGCCAGCUUAAUGUUUUCUCCAUCGUUGGGUUCGGAGGGCUCGGCAAAACUACGCUCGCCUUUGAAGUUUUCCGGCAGCUGAAGACCAAGUUCCAAUGCCAGGCACAGGUGUCCGUGUCUCGGGCGUUUGACAGCAGCAAGGACCUGCGGGGGCUGCUGAAACUCGUGUUUCAGCAGAUUUUGAAGGUGAAUGAUGAAGGCAUCGAGAUGGAGAAACUCGAUUCCGUGGGUAACAUCGACGAAAUGGAUGUGAAUGUGCUGACCAACAAGCUCAAGGAACAUCUCGAGGGCAAGAGGUACCUCAUUGUGCUCGACGAUGUAUGGACAGUAGCUGUGUGGGCUGCAAUCCGGUCCAAAUUGCCAGAAAGCACAUGCGGCAGCAUAAUUAUUGUGACAACUCGGAUAGAUAGUGUGGCGCAAGCAUGCAGUGGAGCAAGUGUAUGUGAAGACCACAUAUACCAUAUGAAGCCACUCAGCUGCGAGGACUCGAAGAAGUUGUUUCUAAGGAGAGUAUUUGGCUUUGAGGAAUGCUCUUUCCCAAGGGAGCUGGAAGAUGAACUUCACUAUGUUUUGAAAAAAUGCAGCGGGCAUCCGUUGGCCAUUGUUAGCAUUGGAAGUCUUUUGGCAAACUAUAGAAGUCCAGAUAGCAAAGGUACAUGGGAAUACAUUCGUAGAUCAAUGGGUUCUCAUAUACAUAUACUGAACGACCCAACCCCUGACGGAUUGAGGAAGAUCAUCACCGUUAGCUUUCACCACCUGCCUCGUGACCUCAAGCGUUGCAUGAUGUAUCUUUGCAUUUUCCCGGAGAAUUAUCUGAUCAGCAAAAACCGGCUCUUGAAAAGAUGGAUUGCAGAAGGAUUGAUACCUGAGAAGCAGGGGCUUACUUUGAUGGAGACUGCCGAGUCCUACUACAAUGAGCUAGUGAAUAGGGGCAUGAUUGAUCAAGCUGGCUGCAUAGUUACCUACUGUAAUAGGAUGGAUAUGUGUCGGGUGCAUGACAUUAUGCUUGAGGUUAUGGCGUCCAAAUCCCUAGAACUUAACUUUGUUAGCUUGGUAGGCAUUCAGUAUGAAGCAAUGUCAUAUGAUAUUGUUCGUCGUCUUUCCAUUCACGGCGCAGAUGGGGCGAAUGGCAUUGAGGGGAUGAAUGUGCAGCAUGUCCGAUCACUGAGCACAUUUCAGUCUGAAGGCCACAAGUUGUUGCUAGAUCAACUAGGAAAGUUCAAGCUGCUGAGGGUACUUGAUCUGGAAGACUGUAAGGACCUAAAAAACAAGCAUUUAAGGUACAUAUGCAAGAUGUACCUUCUUAAGUUCUUGAGCUUGAGGGGUACAGAUAUCAGUAUGAUGCCUCGUGAAGUCUGUGAUCUAGAGCAUUUGCAAACACUUGAUGUCGGUGACACUCUCCUCGGCACGCUUCCCAACACUAUGACAAAGCUGAUCAAACUUGAGCAGCUGAUGUUCUCCAACAGAGAAAGGCUGUUGACCCUAUGGAUACUUCCCAAAGGAAUCUCAAAGAUGAAGGCAUUGCGUGAGGUGAGUAGAGUAGCCAUCGAAAAUGUUGAGGUUGCCAUAGAGAUCGGUGAUCUACAACAACUAGAACUGAUAUUUGUUUAUGUCAACAAAAGUUCCAAGCAGAGCAAGGAUAUUAUACGAGAGCUAAACCUCUCCCUAAGCAAGACAGCAUACCUUCAGUGGCUCCACGUGGGAGAACUGCGAGAUGUCCACACCAACAACAUGGACAAUCAUCCCCUGGACCUCGACAUGCCAUCACAGCUUCUGCGGUACCUUGGCUUUGGUGGAUUUAUUCCUCGGAUUCCUGACUGGGUCGGUUCACUUGCAUUUCUUGCCGAGUUCACUAUUUCAAGCACAAAACUUGCUGGCAACCAACCAUUUGAGGUCCUUUGUAAAGCUCGAAACCUGAAUCACAUCACAUUUCAGAUGGAUUUUUACAUUGACAAAGAUCUGGUUGCACGGAGUGCCCACAAGUUUUCUGCGCUCAAGAGCGUAAGAGUCAUCUCAGCUGCUGAAACUCCCGAAAUGUUCAGUUUUGAGGAAGAUUCCAUGACACAGCUCGAGAUACUUGAGGUGGACUUCGGAGACUGGCAGAAGAGCAUUAUUGGGAUCGAGCACUUGACGAACCUUAAACAGGUGCGACUCAGUGGUAGCAGCAAUAAUGCUUCACUGAUGGAAGUAGCAGAAAAGCUGAAAGAAGAGAGUGAUAGACGAGGCAAGUCCGACGACUACAAUCAGCGCCCCUUCACGGUUGGAGUGAGAUACAACUAA